GCAGUGGUGGUUCAAUGGCAGAAUUCUUGCCUUCCACGUGGGAGACCUGUGUUCGAUUCCCAGCCAAUGCA
Molecule: transfer RNA, 71 nt
Filed under: Loxodonta africana (African savanna elephant)
Lineage: Eukaryota; Metazoa; Chordata; Mammalia; Proboscidea; Elephantidae
Rfam family: tRNA
About the family: Transfer RNA (tRNA) molecules are approximately 80 nucleotides in length.
Source: Rfam by way of RNAcentral